RNAcentral lists this ribosomal RNA (440 nucleotides) under uncultured bacterium. RNAcentral's name for it is "partial 16S ribosomal RNA". It matches the Rfam family "Bacterial small subunit ribosomal RNA", at positions 338 to 795 of the family's 1533-position model. The record is from RNAcentral.
CCUACGGGAGGCAGCAGUAGGGAAUAUUGCUCAAUGGGGGAAACCCUGAAGCAGCAACGCCGCGUGGAGGAUGAAGGUUUUCGGAUUGUAAACUCCUUUUGUUAGAGAAGAUAAUGACGGUAUCUAACGAAUCAGCACCGGCUAACUCCGUGCCAGCAGCCGCGGUAAUACGGAGGGUGCAAGCUUUACUCGGAAUCACUGGGCGUAACGAGCGCGUAGGCGGGAUAGCAAGUCAGAUGUGAAAUCGUAUGGCUGAACCAUAGAACUGCAUUUGAAACUGUUAUUCUAGAGUAUGGGAGAGGUAGGUGGAAUGCGUGGUGUAGGGGUAAAAUCCGUAGAGAUCAAUAGGAAGACGCAUUGCGAAGGCGACCUGCUAGAACAUAACUGACGCUGAUGCGCGAAAGCGUGGGGAGCAAACAGGAGUAGAUACCCGAGUAGUC